UGGCUGCGGGGGACCCCAUUAGCUGGGGGGAUCCAUUGAAUGGGGGGACCCAUUAACUGGGGGGGCCCUGGUAGAUGGGGGGGACAUUAGCUUGAGGGGUCCCAUUUCCUGGGGGGGCCCCUGUAGCUGGGGGGGGCAUUUGCUGCAGGUCCCCUGUUAGUUGGGGGGGGCCCAUUGGCUGAGGAUGCCCAAUUAGCCAGGGGCCCAUUAGCCCCGUUAGCUGGGGGGGCCCCAGUAGCCCCGUUAGCUGGGGGGGCACCGCGGGUGGGCCGUGCCCGUGCCCCCCCCACGGCGUCUCCGCUUGCCCCCAGGUGCCGAGCGCGACCUGGACUCGGAGGAGGCCCUGGCGUCCCAAGGGAUAUGAGACGGCCGAGCCCCACCGGAGACGCCACCCCGGACCCCGCUGCUUCCCGCUGGCUCCCCGUGGCCCCCCCCGGCGCCCCCCAGCCCCGGGGCCGGAGUGGGCUGGACCCCUCCGUGCGCCCCCGGGGCUGGGCCGGGGGGCUGGGGGCUCCCCUGUACCCGCGGCCCCUCGACCCCCAAUAAAGGUCCCUGCAGCAGCCGCCUGGUGUCGUGGCCGGAUCCGGGGGGGGGGACGCGGCCGGGCACCGGCACUGCCAGCCAGCGCGCGGGAGCCCAUCCCYGUGGCCUCCCGGCGCGGGACUCCGGCUCCACCGCAGUUUCCCCUCCUGCAGCGGCACCCGGCUUUGCCAGCCCCGGGACGCCAAAAGCCGGCGAUCGGGAGGAAAUUUGGGGGGGRAAAAGGAAAAAACCCGCCGAGGGCUGUUCGGCCCCGAGUCCCACGAAAGCUUUUGGGCCUCCGCGUUUCCCAGGUCCCUGCGCCGACCCGGAGCCCCCGGGCGUCUCCAUCCGGCCCCGCUGCCCCCGGAGUCGAGCACCCUGCGCUGGGGGGUUCUCCAAGCGCUUUGCAGCAUCCGAGAGCCUGGACGCCAUGGGCAUCCCCCCCGCCCCGUCCCGGCAGCGUUUGCCCAUCGCGGCUCCGGCCGGGAAACGGGAGCCGCUCGCGAUGGGGGAUCCCAGCCCYGGGCAGCUCCCGGCGGUGCCACUGCCUUCGCUGGGCUCCUGCCGCGGUCCCGGGCGCUUCCAGGCCCCGCGGGAGGCUGCUCCAUGGGAAAUCCCMGCGGGAAGGUCGCGGAGCCCCCCGGCCGCGAUGCCGCGUUUCAGACGCCCGAGUGCGGCGGCGUUAUUGUACUUUCCGGCCAGGAAGAUGCGGGCUCCUCUCCCGCAUCCCGCUCCGGCGGGCGUCGCGCAUCCCGCUGCCGGGCGCUUCGGGUGGCCCCCACACCAGACCCCCUCUCCCGGCUCCCACCCACCACCCUCCCCUCCGCAGGGCACCUCCGGCUCCGGCUCCGGCUCUGGCGGAUAGACCCCGCUCUGGGAGAAGGGCACGGGGUGGGCGACCUUGGAAAACCAACCGAAGGGAGACCGAAGCGCCCCAGCGCAGCUCUCCGGCCCCCGGGGGAGGGAGGCUGCCAGCGGCUCCCCAGGCAGAGCCGGGCUGA
RNAcentral lists this long non-coding RNA (1523 nucleotides) under Dromaius novaehollandiae (emu). Its description in RNAcentral is "lncRNA (ENSDNVG00000017421.1)". Lineage: Eukaryota; Metazoa; Chordata; Aves; Casuariiformes; Dromaiidae. The record is from RNAcentral.